This 819-nucleotide ribosomal RNA is filed under the name uncultured bacterium. RNAcentral's name for it is "bacterial SSU rRNA". It matches the Rfam family "Bacterial small subunit ribosomal RNA", at positions 59 to 868 of the family's 1533-position model. The record is from RNAcentral.
CAGUCGCGGGGCAGCAUGACAUCAGCUUGCUGAUGUUGAUGGCGACCGGCGCACGGGUGAGUAACGCGUAUCCAACCUGCCCUUUACUAUGGGACAGCCCGUCGAAAGGCGGAUUAAUACCGUAUGUUGUCAUGUUGAUGCAUAUUUUCAUGACCAAAGGCUUCGGCCGGUAAAGGAUGGGGAUGCGUCUGAUUAGCUUGCCGGCGGGGUAACGGCCCACCGGAGCGACGAUCAGUAGGGGUUCUGAGAGGAAGGUCCCCCACAUUGGAACUGAGACACGGUCCAAACUCCUACGGGAGGCAGCAGUGAGGAAUAUUGGUCAAUGGGCGCGAGCCUGAACCAGCCAAGUAGCGUGCAGGACGACGGCCCUAUGGGUUGUAAACUGCUUUUAUACGGGGAUAAAGUAUGCCACGUGUGGUUUAUUGCAGGUACCGUAUGAAUAAGGACCGGCUAAUUCCGUGCCAGCAGCCGCGGUAAUACGGAAGGUCCGGGCGUUAUCCGGAUUUAUUGGGUUUAAAGGGAGCGUAGGCCGGGUUUUAAGCGUGCCGUGAAAUGUCGGGGCUCAACCUUGACACUGCGGCGCGAACUGGAGUCCUUGAGUGCGCGGAACGUAUGCGGAAUUCGUGGUGUAGCGGUGAAAUGCUUAGAUAUCACGAAGAACCCCGAUUGCGAAGGCAGCAUACGGCAGCGCUACUGACGCUGAAGCUCGAAGGCGCGGGUAUCGAACAGGAUUAGAUACCCUGGUAGUCCGCGCGGUAAACGAUGGAUGCCCGCUGUUGGCGAUAUAUUGUCAACGGCCAAGCGAAAGCGUUAAACAUC